AACGAACGCUGGCGGCAGGCUUAACACAUGCAAGUCGAACGGGCACUUCGGUGUCAGUGGCAGACGGGUGAGUAACGCGUGGGAACAUACCUCUUGGUUCGGAACAACACAGGGAAACUUGUGCUAAUACCGGAUAAGCCCUUACGGGGAAAGAUUUAUCGCCGAGAGAUUGGCCCGCGUCUGAUUAGCUAGUUGGUGUGGUAAAAGCGCACCAAGGCGACGAUCAGUAGCUGGUCGAGAGGAUGAUCAGCCACAUUGGGACUGAGACA
Molecule: ribosomal RNA, 269 nt
Filed under: uncultured bacterium
Lineage: Bacteria
Description: partial 16S ribosomal RNA
Rfam family: Bacterial small subunit ribosomal RNA
Source: RNAcentral